AACGCGAAGAACCUUACCUGGAUUUGACAUCUCCUGCUAGCUCUAGAGAUAGAGUGUUCGUAGCAAUACGACAGGAAGACAGGUGCUGCAUGGCUGUCGUCAGCUCGUGUGGUGACAUGUUGGGUUAAGUCCCGCAACGAGCGCAACCCUUGUCCUUAGUUGCCAUCAUUCAGUUGGGCUCUCUAAGGAGACUGCCGUGGUGAACACGGAGGAAGGUGGGGAUGACGUCAAGUCCUCAUGGCCUUUAUAUCCAGGGCGACACACGUGAUACAAUGGACGGUACAAAGGGAAGCCAAGAGGCAACUCGGAGCUAAUCUCAAAAAGCCGUUCUCAGUUCGGAUUGGAGUCUGCAACUCGACUCCAUGAAGUUGGAAUCGCUAGUAAUCGCGGAUCAGCACGCCGCGGUGAAUACGUUCCCGGGCCUUGUACACACCGACUGUAC
Molecule: ribosomal RNA, 442 nt
Filed under: uncultured bacterium
Lineage: Bacteria
Description: bacterial SSU rRNA
Rfam family: Bacterial small subunit ribosomal RNA
Source: RNAcentral